CGGCGCGGCUCCGGUGCGGGCCCGGCGCCGCACGGCACCCGAGUCGGGCCGGCACCGAUGCUCUGGAGACUCUCUAAGGUCUCUAUACAGCUGUGCCUUGCCGGGAGGCUCUUCGAGAGCAACGCGCCCGCGAAGUUUUCGCGGGGAGACCGGGUGCAGAGUGUCUGCGAAUCCCCAGAACUCGGGCUCUGCUGUGUAAAGGGGAUUAAGCGGGGAGGGACUCGGCAUCUUGUGGAAUGGAAGUGCCUUCCCGGGAACAUUGGCCAAGUCCUGGAGAAAGAGAAGUGUGGCUUUUACCGUGGGUGAAGUUCUGCCGCAACGCGGGUGGCGGGAACCCGGGGCGAGCUUGCCCCCUUCAGCACGUUCACCGACGCCCUGCUGGUCGAAGGUCACUUAGGGAUUUGGGGGAACGACUUGAGGGAUGAGUGGAAGAAGAGGCGUGUUCUAUUUACAAAAUAAUUAAAAAUUUUCUCCCGUCUACCAUGCCCUUGAAUAACAUCAGUUAUAUACUUCGCCCCUUCAAUUUAUAGCUAUUGGGAAAUGCCAUAGGGAAUGUGGAUCAGUGUGAAGAUUAUUAAGGAGGCAAGGAGACAAAUCCCAAAAUACUGUGUACCCUGUUAUCCCAUUUUUAAAAGUUAUCAUGUAUGGAAGGAGGCAGAAAAGACUGGGCAAAUAAUACCAAUGCUUUCACUGGGUCUCUUGGUGAUUGGUGGGAUUGUGGAUGGGUUUUCUUUUUCUGCUUAAUUCUAAUUUUUCUGUAAAGGAGACAUUAGUGUUGUAAUUUCAGGGGAAAAAAUAAAGUAAGAAAUAGUUUGGUGCUUUUCCCCUCACCCCAGUACAGAAUGGCCAGGGUAGACCCCUCUUUCCAAAGAAUAGGUAGCAAAUCUCUUUAGUUACUCAAACUCUUUAGUUACUGCAACUUUUCAUUGUUUCUUAGAGCAUGAAACAGCUGUCACUGUAAACUCAAGAGUGUGUUGAUUUUGUAAAUUGAAACUGUCUCGGAGAAGCCCACUGGGACAUUGGAUAAGACUGGACAUUCUGUAAGAACAAGUGCAUGUUCUUAUCAAGACUGACAAACCUGAUUGUAUGACUUAAGAGAUCUUUAUAACCUUAGAGUACGACUUUGUAACUUAUUCUCUUUGCAGAGAAUAAACCUUACAAAUCAAAAACACAAUCAGAACCAAUCAGUGGCCACUUGAGGAAGUCCUAAAAGUUGCAGAGCACAGACUGUUUCUAAUUGCACAGGUAAAAUGCUUCUGUUCACCCCUUUUUAAACAUUCAUCAGCCUAACACAAUAACUAGUGGUGGCAGCAAGUCACAUCAGGGAGUGGUUAAAAAAAAUGUUUCAGUAUGAGCCUGGUAAUAAGCUCAUUAAUGCCAUUUAAGUUAUCCCUUCAUUCACUGACAAAUAGUAACCAUAUUUUUAUAGCUCUAGUGCCAGGAUUACAUAAGACAUGUAUCAAAAAAGAAGAAAAGUCCAUUGCAUCUGAUGUCAUUUUCUCCUCUCCCCAGUUCAUGGGGUGUAAUGGCUACCCAUAAAGCAUAUCAAAAUCAGUUUGUUCCCCCUACACCCUGUUGGAUUUCAAGCUUUCCCAUCAUUUAUUCCAUCUUCCUUGAAGUAAACCCACAUUUUUCCACUACUCAACAUUGAGAUGCCAGCCAAUUAUAAGAUAAGCCCCAUGAGAGUAAGGAUCUUGUCUUCAUUUCUAU
This 1710-nucleotide long non-coding RNA is filed under the name Marmota monax (woodchuck). The record is from RNAcentral. Lineage: Eukaryota; Metazoa; Chordata; Mammalia; Rodentia; Sciuridae.